RNAcentral lists this ribosomal RNA (253 nucleotides) under uncultured bacterium. RNAcentral describes it as "partial 16S ribosomal RNA". It matches the Rfam family "Bacterial small subunit ribosomal RNA", at positions 524 to 776 of the family's 1533-position model. The record is from RNAcentral.
UACAGAGGCCCCGAGCGUUGUUCGGAUUCACUGGGCGUAAAGGGUGCGUAGGUGGCUUGACAAGUUUGAUGUGAAAGCUCAGGGCUUAACCCUGAAAUGGCAUUGAAUACUGUCGAGCUGGAGGUUUGGAGGGGGGACUGGAAUUCUUGGUGUAGCAGUGAAAUGCGUAGAUAUCAAGAGGAACACCAGUGGCGAAGGCGAGUCCCUGGACAACACCUGACACUGAGGCACGAAAGCUAGGGGAGCAAACAGG